UGGGGAAUAUUGGGCAAUGGGCGCAAGCCUGACCCAGCAACGCCGCGUGAGUGAUGAAGGUCUUCGGAUUGUAAAACUCUUUAAGCAGGGAAGAAGAAAGUGACGGUACCUGCAGAAUAAGCAUCGGCUAACUACGUGCCAGCAGCCGCGGUAAUACGUAGGAUGCAAGCGUUAUCCGGAAUGACUGGGCGUAAAGGGUGCGUAGGUGGUUUGGCAAGUUGGUAGCGUAAUUCCGGGGCUUAACUCCGGAACUACUACCAAAACUGUUGGACUUGAGUGCAGGAGGGGUAUGUGGAAUUCCUAGUGUAGCGGUGGAAUGCGUAGAUAUUAGGAGGAACACCAGUGGCGAAGGCGACAUACUGGACUGUAACUGACACUGAGGCACGAAAGCGUGGGGAGCAAACAGG
This 407-nucleotide ribosomal RNA is filed under the name uncultured bacterium. RNAcentral's name for it is "bacterial SSU rRNA". It matches the Rfam family "Bacterial small subunit ribosomal RNA", at positions 355 to 776 of the family's 1533-position model. The record is from RNAcentral.